RNAcentral lists this ribosomal RNA (225 nucleotides) under uncultured bacterium. RNAcentral's name for it is "partial 16S ribosomal RNA". It matches the Rfam family "Bacterial small subunit ribosomal RNA", at positions 109 to 334 of the family's 1533-position model. The record is from RNAcentral.
AGUAACGCGUGGGUAACCUGCCUUGUACAGGGGGAUAACAGUUGGAAACGGCUGCUAAUACCGCAUAAGCGCACGGCAUCGCAUGAUGCAGUGUGAAAAACUCCGGUGGUAUAAGAUGGACCCGCGUUGGAUUAGCUAGUUGGUGAGGUAACGGCCCACCAAGGCGACGAUCCAUAGCCGACCUGAGAGAGUGACCGGCCACAUUGGGACUGAGACACGGCCCAA